Molecule: ribosomal RNA, 497 nt
Filed under: uncultured bacterium
Lineage: Bacteria
Description: partial 16S ribosomal RNA
Rfam family: Bacterial small subunit ribosomal RNA
Source: RNAcentral
GAUGAACGCUGGCGGCGUGCCUAAUACAUGCAAGUCGAGCGAACGGACGAGAAGCUUGCUUCUCUGAUGUUAGCGGCGGACGGGUGAGUAACACGUGGAUAACCUACCUAUCAGACUGGGAUAACUUCGGGACACCGGAGCUAAUACCGGAUAAUAUUUUGAACCGCAUGGUUCAAAAGUGAAAGGCGGUCUUGCUGUCACUUAUAGAUGGAUCCGCGCUGCAUUAGCUAGUUGGUAAGGUAACGGCUUACCAAGGCAACGACGCAUAGCCGACCUGAGAGGGGGAUCGGCCACACUGGAACGGAGACACGGUCCAGACUCCUACGGGAGGCAGCAGUAGGGAAUCGUCCGCAAUGGGCGAAAGCCUGACGGAGCAACGCCGCGUGAGUGAUGAAGGUCUUCGGAGCGUAAAACUCUGUUAUUAGGGAAGAACAGAUGUGUAAGUAACUGUGCACAUCUUGACGGUACCUAAUCAGAAAGCCACGGCUAACUACGUG